UCCUGUUACCACUGAUUGA
RNAcentral lists this non-coding RNA (19 nucleotides) under Arabidopsis thaliana (thale cress). Lineage: Eukaryota; Viridiplantae; Streptophyta; Magnoliopsida; Brassicales; Brassicaceae. The record is from RNAcentral.